CUGAACCAGCCAAGUAGCGUGAAGGAAGAGUGCCCUAUGGGUUGUAAACUUCUUUUAUACGGGAAUAACGUCAUCCAGGUGUGGAUGUUUGUAUGUUCCGUAUGAAUAUAGAUCGGCUAACUCCGUGCCGACAGCCGCGGUAAUACGGAGGAUCCGAGCGUUAUCCGGAUUUAUUGGGUUUAAAGGGAGCGUAGGCGGGCUUUUAAGUCAGUUGUGAAAGUUUGCGG
This 227-nucleotide ribosomal RNA is filed under the name uncultured Bacteroidaceae bacterium. RNAcentral describes it as "partial 16S ribosomal RNA". It matches the Rfam family "Bacterial small subunit ribosomal RNA", at positions 383 to 607 of the family's 1533-position model. The record is from RNAcentral. Lineage: Bacteria; Pseudomonadati; Bacteroidota; Bacteroidia; Bacteroidales; Bacteroidaceae.